This 308-nucleotide long non-coding RNA is filed under the name Homo sapiens (human). RNAcentral's name for it is "HSALNT0155837". The record is from RNAcentral. Lineage: Eukaryota; Metazoa; Chordata; Mammalia; Primates; Hominidae.
CGCUAGGACCGCUCACGGCCGCCCGAACGUCGGGCGCCGCGACUGCCACGAUUGUGCGGGGCGUCAAGUUUGGGUUGUGCUCAGCCAUGUUUUUCCGGGACAGUCUCCUGUCCCGGAGUACCACCUGUCAUCUUUGUGGGUGGUACUGACCCUAACCCAAGGAAUAUUAGAGGACAUUCCCCGGUCAACAUGGUUGUGUUUUCCUAUCACUCUAAGAGUUAGGCUCAAGGACACCAGACGGAGUUGGAAAGGUCUCAAUGACUCGCCCUCGGCCCUGCCCCUCUGUCCCCGCCCGCCGUGGUCCCGCC